GACGAACGCUGGCGGCGUGCUUAACACAUGCAAGUCGAGCGGUAAGGCUCCUUCGGGAGUACACGAGCGGCGAACGGGUGAGUAACACGUGAGUAAUCUGCCCUUCACUUCGGGAUAACCACCGGAAACGGUGGCUAAUACCGAAUACGACCAGUCUUCGCAUGAGGUGCUGGUGGAAAGUCUUUUCGGUGAAGGAUGUGCUCGCGGCCUAUCAGCCUGUUGGUGGGGUAAUGGCCUACCAAGGCUUCGACGGGUAGCCGGCCUGAGAGGGUGACCGGCCACACUGGGACUGAGACACGGCCCAGACUCCUACGGGAGGCAGCAGUGGGGAAUAUUGGACAAUGGGCGAAAGCCUGAUCCAGCAACGCCGCGUGAGGGAUGACGGCCUUCGGGUUGUAAACCUCUUUCAGUACCGACGAAGCGCCCUGUCGGGUGGUGACGGUAGGUACAGAAGAAGGACCGGCCAACUACGUG
This 474-nucleotide ribosomal RNA is filed under the name uncultured bacterium. RNAcentral's name for it is "partial 16S ribosomal RNA". It matches the Rfam family "Bacterial small subunit ribosomal RNA", at positions 28 to 507 of the family's 1533-position model. The record is from RNAcentral.